CGGUUGAUCCUGCCCGAGGCCACCGCUAUCGGGGUCCGACUAAGCCAUGCAAAGUCGAGGGCCGCCCGGCUAUGGGGGCGGCCCGGCGGACGGCUCAGUAACACGUGGGUAACCUACCCUCGGGACGGGGAUAACCCCGGGAAACUGGGGCUAAUCCCCGAUAGGCGGGGCGGCCUGGAACGGUCCUCCGCCGAAAGGGGCCCGGGCUCAUGCCGCCCGGGCCCGCCCGAGGAUGGGCCUGCGGCCGAUUAGGUAGUUGGCGGGGUAACGGCCCGCCAAGCCGAUAAUCGGUACGGGCGGUGAGAGCCGGAGCCCGGAGACGGGGACUGAGACAAGGCCCCGGGCCCAACGGGGCGCAGCAGGCGCGAAACCUCCGCAAUGCGGGCAACCGCGACGGGGGGACCCCGAGUGCCGUCGGGGCAAAGCUCCGGCGGCUGUACCGGGGUGUAAAAAGCCCCGGGUAGAAAGCGGCGGGCAAGACCGCUGCCAGCCGCCGCGGUAAUAGCGGCGCCGCAAGUGGUGGCCGCUUUUAUUGGGCCUAAAGGGGCCGUAGCCGGUCCCGUGGGUCCCCGCCGAAAGCCCGCGGCUUAACCGCGGGAGUCGGCGGGGAAACUGCGGGACUUGGGACCGGGAGAGGCCGGAGGUACCCCCGGAGUAGGGGUGAAAUCCUGUCAUCCCGGGGGGACCGCCAGUGGCGAAGGCGUCCGGCUGGAACGGGUCCGACGGUGAGGGCCGAAAGCCGGGGGAGCAAACCGGAUUAGAUACCCGGGUAGUCCCGGCUGUAAACGAUGCGGACUAGGUGUUGGGGCGGCCAUGAGCCGCCCCAGUGCCGUAGGGAAGCCGUUAAGUCCGCCGCCUGGGGAGUACGGCCGCAAGGCUGAAACUUAAAGGAAUUGGCGGGGGAGCACA
Molecule: ribosomal RNA, 909 nt
Filed under: archaeon enrichment culture clone BIG A_Brut_6
Lineage: Archaea
Description: bacterial SSU rRNA
Rfam family: Archaeal small subunit ribosomal RNA
Source: RNAcentral